CUGACAUAAGUAACGAUAAAGCGGGUGAAAAGCCCGCUCGCCGGAAGACCAAGGGUUCCUGUCCAACGUUAAUCGGGGCAGGGUGAGUCGACCCCUAAGGCGAGGCCGAAAGGCGUAGUCGAUGGGAAACAGGUUAAUAUUCCUGUACUUGGUGUUACUGCGAAGGGGGGACGGAGAAGGCUAUGUUGGCCGGGCGACGGUUGUCCCGGUUUAAGCGUGUAGGCUGGUUUUCCAGGCAAAUCCGGAAAAUCAAGGCUGAGGCGUGAUGACGAGGCACUACGGUGCUGAAGCAACAAAUGCCCUGCUUCCAGGAAAAGCCUCUAAGCAUCAGGUAACAUCAAAUCGUACCCCAAACCGACACAGGUGGUCAGGUAGAGAAUACCAAGGCGCUUGAGAGAACUCGGGUGAAGGAACUAGGCAAAAUGGUGCCGUAACUUCGGGAGAAGGCACGCUGAUAUGUAGGUGAAGUCCCUCGCGGAUGGAGCUGAAAUCAGUCGAAGAUACCAGCUGGCUGCAACUGUUUAUUAAAAACACAGCACUGUGCAAACACGAAAGUGGACGUAUACGGUGUGACGCCUGCCCGGUGCCGGAAGGUUAAUUGAUGGGGUCAGCGCAAGCGAAGCUCUUGAUCGAAGCCCCGGUAAACGGCGGCCGUAACUAUAACGGUCCUAAGGUAGCGAAAUUCCUUGUCGGGUAAGUUCCGACCUGCACGAAUGGCGUAAUGAUGGCCAGGCUGUCUCCACCCGAGACUCAGUGAAAUUGAACUCGCUGUGAAGAUGCAGUGUACCCGCGGCAAGACGGAAAGACCCCGUGAACCUUUACUAUAGCUUGACACUGAACAUUGAGCCUUGAUGUGUAGGAUAGGUGGGAGGCUUUGAAGUGUGGACGCCAGUCUGCAUGGAGCCGACCUUGAAAUACCACCCUUUAAUGUUUGAUGUUCUAACGUGGACCCGUGAUCCGGGUUGCGGACAGUGUCUGGUGGGUAGUUUGACUGGGGCGGUCUCCUCCUAAAGAGUAACGGAGGAGCACGAAGGUUGGCUAAUCCUGGUCGGACAUCAGGAGGUUAGUGCAAUGGCAUAAGCCAGCUUGACUGCGAGCGUGACGGCGCGAGCAGGUGCGAAAGCAGGUCAUAGUGAUCCGGUGGUUCUGAAUGGAAGGGCCAUCGCUCAACGGAUAAAAGGUACUCCGGGGAUAACAGGCUGAUACCGCCCAAGAGUUCAUAUCGACGGCGGUGUUUGGCACCUCGAUGUCGGCUCAUCACAUCCUGGGGCUGAAGUAGGUCCCAAGGGUAUGGCUGUUCGCCAUUUAAAGUGGUACGCGAGCUGGGUUUAGAACGUCGUGAGACAGUUCGGUCCCUAUCUGCCGUGGGCGCUGGAGAACUGAGGGGGGCUGCUCCUAGUACGAGAGGACCGGAGUGGACGCAUCACUGGUGUUCGGGUUGUCAUGCCAAUGGCACUGCCCGGUAGCUAAAUGCGGAAGAGAUAAGUGCUGAAAGCAUCUAAGCACGAAACUUGCCCCGAGAUGAGUUCUCCCUGACCCUUUAAGGGUCCUGAAGGAACGUUGAAGACGACGACGUUGAUAGGCCGGGUGUGUAAGCGCAGCGAUGCGUUGAGCUAACCGGUACUAAUGAACCGUGAGGCUUAACCUUACAACGCCGAAGGUGUUU
Molecule: ribosomal RNA, 1666 nt
Filed under: Escherichia coli
Lineage: Bacteria; Pseudomonadati; Pseudomonadota; Gammaproteobacteria; Enterobacterales; Enterobacteriaceae
Description: partial 23S ribosomal RNA
Rfam family: Bacterial large subunit ribosomal RNA
Source: RNAcentral